This is a long non-coding RNA of Musca vetustissima, 254 nucleotides long. RefSeq lists it as uncharacterized. The transcript has 3 exons. Lineage: Eukaryota; Metazoa; Arthropoda; Insecta; Diptera; Muscidae. The record is from RefSeq and is a predicted model, not a curated record.
CUUUCUAUCUUAACCGAGUGGAUUAUUUGGCGCACCCCAAGCAGGGGAACUUACUGUUUUAUAUGACUUUUGAAAGAAUAUUAGAAACACCAGUAUACCAGCAAACACCUCCAUCUCCACCUCAACGGAGCAACUUAGUUAGUUCGUGCAUGAAUUCACAUCGGCGCUAUUUAAGUCAUAGGACUUCAAAAUUUUCUAGUAACAGACAUCGGAAGCUGCAACCUUUUAGAGAAACGUGAGGCAUUUGUCGUCGU